This 322-nucleotide unclassified non-coding RNA is filed under the name fungal sp. RNAcentral describes it as "partial internal transcribed spacer region". The stretch from base 1 to 46 matches the Rfam family "Eukaryotic small subunit ribosomal RNA", at positions 1786 to 1831 of the family's 1831-position model. Lineage: Eukaryota; Fungi. The record is from RNAcentral.
AAGUCGUAACAAGGUCUCCGUUGGUGAACCAGCGGAAGGAUCAUUAACACAUCGUUAAUCAUCAAACCAAAUGUGAACCAUACGUCCCUGUUUCACGGUUGUUUCCGAACCACAGUGCAGCAGACAAUACCAUUCCUAGUAGUUAUUACCGACUUCUAGGUUAAGUCCAUCUUACCUAUUAGUCGUUAAUAAUGAACGUAUUCACCAAUUUUAACCCUAAAACUAAAACUUGUCUAAUCUUCUUAAUCUUAUUUACUGCCUCGGUAGUUUAUAAGCUUUACGAAACAUUGAACAACUCUUAGCAAUGGAUAUCUUGGGUCAU